UGUUAAGUCAGAUGUGAAAUCCCCGGGCUUAACCUGGGAACUGCAUUUGAAACUGGCAGGCUUGAGUCUUGUAGAGGGGGGUAGAAUUCCAGGUGUAGCGGUGAAAUGCGUAGAGAUCUGGAGGAAUACCGGUGGCGAAGGCGGCCCCCUGGACAAAGACUGACGCUCAGGUGCGAAAGCGUGGGGAGCAAACAGGAUUAGAUACCCUGGUAGUCCACGCCGUAAACGAUGUCGACUUGGAGGUUGUUCCCUUGAGGAGUGGCUUCCGGAGCUAACGCGUUAAGUCGACCGCCUGGGGAGUACGGCCGCAAGGUUAAAACUCAAAUGAAUUGACGGGGGCCCGCACAAGCGGUGGAGCAUGUGGUUUAAUUCGAUGCAACGCGAAGAACCUUACCUACUCUUGACAUCCAGAGA
RNAcentral lists this ribosomal RNA (414 nucleotides) under Pantoea sp. RNAcentral's name for it is "bacterial SSU rRNA". It matches the Rfam family "Bacterial small subunit ribosomal RNA", at positions 581 to 994 of the family's 1533-position model. The record is from RNAcentral. Lineage: Bacteria; Pseudomonadati; Pseudomonadota; Gammaproteobacteria; Enterobacterales; Erwiniaceae.